UAGAGUAUACAUUGUACAGUGAAAUAUGAAUGCUUCGUACUCAUCUGUUUUGAUGGGUGUUGAUGAGGUGUUGACCUUUCGACCUUGUGGGCCAUAUCCAACACCAGCUAAGUCCAGGUCAAAUGGUGUAAAUCUGAGAAUCAUCAAGACCACGAUGAAAAGAAGGUGGUUUGUUGUUGGAUGUUGUUGUCCUACAGUUUAGGAGUCAGAGUUUACAGAGAAUGCUGCUUCCUGUAUUUGAAAUGUUUUAGGACCCUAUAAAGCUAGGAACAAUCAUUUGCCCAACAAUGAUAGCGAUAUUGCACAAACUGAGACGGUCACAUGGGUUUCUGCCAUUAAGGGACUCAACAACCUCAAAUCUACCCCAGACUGGGACCACAGCUAAUUGUUAUAGGCCUUAAUACCAUCAGGAUAGUUAGUUGGGGUGUGGUUGCUGGAUGAGAAGGGGUUAUGGUCAAUAAGAUACAGGGAAGUUAGUUGGGCUGUGACUAGUGGUUGGGGAGGGGUUACGGUCAAGGUCAAUAAGAUACAGGGAAGUUGUGCUGUGGCAGCAGGCUGGAUGGUUUGACCUGGUUAGGUUUUCCGCAUGGUGUUCUGACCAUCUCUGAAGGUCUAGACCAUCUGGUUUCAGCUCUCUGGAGGUCUAGACCAUCUUGGUUCCAGUUCUCUCUCUGGAGGUCUAGACCAUCUUGGUUCCAGUUCUCUCUCUGGAGGUCUAGACCGUCUUGGUUUCAGCUCUCUCUGGAGGUCUAGACCGUCUUGGUUUCAGCUCUCUCUGGAGGUCUAGACCGUCUUGGUUUCAGCUCUCUCUGGAGGUCUAGACCGUCUUGGUUUCAGCUCUCUCUGGAGGUCUAGACCGUCUUGGUUUCAGCUCUCUCUGGAGUUCGAGACCGUCUUGGUUCCAGUUCUCUCUCUGGAGUUCGAGACCGUCUUGGUUCCAGUUCUCUCUCUGGAGUUCUAGACCGUCUUGGUUCCAGUUCUCUCUCUGGAGGUCUAGACCAUCUUGGUUUCAGUUCUCUCUGGAGUUCUAGACCAUCUUGGUUUCAGCUCUCUCUGGAGGUCUAGACCAUCUUGGUUCCAGCUCUCUCUGGAGGUCUAGACCAUCUUGGUUCCAGCUCUCUCUGGAGGUCUAGACCAUCUUGGUUUCAGCUCUCUCUGGAGGUCUAGACCAUCUUGGUUUCAGCUCUCUCUGGAGGUCUAGACCAUCUUGGCAAAAGGACAUCUUUCUACCAAUGGAAUCUGUGUUUCCUUGUAAGGGAUUGGAUACAUACGUCCACAUACGUCCAGAAAAAUAAUUAGACCGUACAAACAUCUCUGUGAUGGACACCAUCACUUUGACUUGCAACAACAAGAAGCCAGAAAGCCUCUAGGCUGCCAUAUUGAAAACGUGGGACUGAGGAGGGAAUUGAGGGUGGGACUGAGAAGGGAGUGGUGAAACUAUAGAUGACAUUAUGAUGUUUACAGCCAUCAUAAAAACUAGGAGUGGGCCUCUCUGGUGACAGAGUUAGUUAAACAUUUACAGUCAACAUAUUGCACGAUAAUCAUCUGCACUCAAUCGUAGUGGAUGUAUGUAGUGCAUGUACUGUUUGCAGUGCAUAUUGUUUGUCUCUCUAAUUCUCCCCCUCAUACUGCGACAUUACAACAUUAGAAAUACAAGUGGUAUACAAGUGCAAUUUUCAUCUUAAAAUAAUCUAUUUUUCUAAAUGCAUCCAACCCCUAAAUGUGUUCUGUCUGCUCAGUACUCUCUAAUUUAUCUCCAUCUCUCCAUGGUCCAGCAGCACACAGGAUGUUCUCAGUUCUCUCCACCUGUCUUUUGUAAAUGUUCCUUUUAUCUUCUAUGGUCCAACAGCGUACUGUGUUCUAACCCUC
Oncorhynchus keta (chum salmon) is the source of this 1869-nucleotide long non-coding RNA. RefSeq lists it as uncharacterized. Lineage: Eukaryota; Metazoa; Chordata; Actinopteri; Salmoniformes; Salmonidae. The record is from RefSeq and is a predicted model, not a curated record. The transcript has 3 exons.